This 360-nucleotide unclassified non-coding RNA is filed under the name uncultured fungus. Its description in RNAcentral is "partial contains small subunit ribosomal RNA, internal transcribed spacer 1, and 5.8S ribosomal RNA". The stretch from base 1 to 73 matches the Rfam family "Eukaryotic small subunit ribosomal RNA", at positions 1759 to 1831 of the family's 1831-position model. Lineage: Eukaryota; Fungi. The record is from RNAcentral.
CCAAACUUGGUCAUUUAGAGGAAGUAAAAGUCGUAACAAGGUCUCCGUUGGUGAACCAGCGGAGGGAUCAUUAUAGAGUUCUAAACAAACUCCCAAAACCCUGUGUGAACCUACCGCAUGUUGCCUCGGCGGCGCCGCGGCUACCCUGGAGCUACCCUGGAGCUACCCUGUAGACGCCUACCCUGUAGGCGCCUGCCCUGUAGACCUCCCGGCGCAGCCACCCGGGAGCUCGCGUUAAAGGCCCGCCAAAGGACCCCCAAACUCUGUUUUAUUUUGGCUAUUCUGAACGUAUCAACUUUAAAAUGAAUCAAAACUUUCAACAACGGAUCUCUUGGUUCUGGCAUCGAUGAAGAACGCAGC